GACGAACGCUGGCGGCGUGCCUAAUACAUGCAAGUUGAGCGCUGAAGGUUGGUACUUGUACCAACUGGAUGAGCAGCGAACGGGUGAGUAACGCGUGGGGAAUCUGCCUUUGAGCGGGGGACAACAUUCGGAAACGAAUGCUAAUACCGCAUAAAAACUUUAAACACAAGUUUUAAGUUUGAAAGAUGCAAUUGCAUCACUCAAAGAUGAUCCCGCGUUGUAUUAGCUAGUUGGUGAGGUAAAGGCUCACCAAGGCGAUGAUACAUAGCCGACCCGCGAGGGUGAGCGGCCCCAUUGGGACUGAGACACGGCCCAAACUCCUACGGGAGGCAGCAGUAGGGGAUCUUCGGCAAUGGACGGAAGUCUGACCGAGCAACGCCGCGUGAGUGAAGAAGGGUUUCGGAUCGUAAAACUCUGUUGGUAGGGAAGAACGUUGGUGAGAGUGGAAAGCUCAUCAAGUGACGUUAACUACCCAGAAAGGGACGGCUAACUACGUG
RNAcentral lists this ribosomal RNA (497 nucleotides) under uncultured bacterium. Its description in RNAcentral is "partial 16S ribosomal RNA". It matches the Rfam family "Bacterial small subunit ribosomal RNA", at positions 28 to 507 of the family's 1533-position model. The record is from RNAcentral.